CCUUGCCUCACAUCGGCCCCUCCCACACUGACAGAGGUCAGCGGGAGCCCCUUGCCUCACACCGGCCCCUCCCACGCUGACAGAGGUCAGCGGGAGCCCCUUGCCUCACACCGGCCCCUCCCACACUGAGAGAGGUCAGCGUGAGCCCUUGCCUCACACCGGCCCCUCCCACACUGAGAGAGGUCAGUGUGAGCCCCUUCCUCAACAGGCCACCGUGAG
RNAcentral lists this long non-coding RNA (219 nucleotides) under Homo sapiens (human). Its description in RNAcentral is "HSALNT0409599". The record is from RNAcentral. Lineage: Eukaryota; Metazoa; Chordata; Mammalia; Primates; Hominidae.